GAUCCGGACUCGAGCGCAAUAGCCGUCGCCUCCACCAAGAAGAAU
Molecule: small RNA, 45 nt
Filed under: Odontella aurita
Lineage: Eukaryota; Bacillariophyta; Thalassiosirophyceae; Eupodiscales; Odontellaceae
Description: partial Alphaproteobacteria transfer-messenger RNA
Source: RNAcentral